Molecule: long non-coding RNA, 4249 nt
Organism: Zeugodacus cucurbitae (melon fly)
Lineage: Eukaryota; Metazoa; Arthropoda; Insecta; Diptera; Tephritidae
Exons: 2
Source: RefSeq, a predicted model, not a curated record
UAGUCCAAGCUCAUAUUCACACAUCGAUUGGCCUUAAUUCAAAACCGAAAACUUUGUAAGCACUUUACGCCAUUUACGGGUCAUAUGCCGGUGACCGAAAGUGUGUUUUUUUACAAUAACUCCAGUUGGCCCAUGUGGCACACAUGCACACACACACGGGCUUGAAGUGUAGCCUUAUUACAAUAACUAAGCGUAUUUUAUGAUUGCUGAAUAAAAUCGAAAGCUACUUUCAAAUUGUAGGUAGGUGUUUGUGUGUAUGUGCUUUUAGAGUUUUAGAGGUGAGCACUUUAAUUCGCCCGGUAGAUAUGUUAGCUGAAAGUGAGUGAGGCUGCAAAUUUUAUGUGUUAUGGCAUGCGUCCCAGUAGGAAAGUUCAUAGACGUGGAAAGAUAAUAGUUUCCAACAAAAUUGUGUAUCAAAUUUAAAAUCGGACUUUCGAAUGGUAUCAUAAUCACGAUCAUCAAAAGUGUUUGGAAUGAGACGGAAUUUGACCCAGUCAGUUCGGGAGACAUAUAUAUUCUAACGAUCCAAGUUCGGUUCAGACACAUAAAUACCAAAGAACCGAUACCAAAUUGAUCAGGAACGAUACAUAAUAGUCAACAAACAUAAGAGGUAAAGGACGAUAAUGCGGACUUCACUCUAACCGCGACACAAAACUUCACUUUAUGACACAGUAACCUAUUCCAAAUCUCUUAACUUUGGCUAAGCCAUUUGUAGUUACAUCGAUAAUAUAAUGGUAAACUUCAUCAAAGCAGCACAUGGAUCCGGAGUCUCUAGCGAUAAUCUUCGGAGAAUACUUCUUUAAGCGGUGAAAUGAUCCAUCUUUCUUAUUAAGACAUAACCUUUAUUCUUGGGUUGAAAUCAAAGACUCCCACAACGAAGGCCUAGACGAUCUAGACUUUAAAUUAGGAAAUUCAAAACUCUAGAUCAACCACAUUCCAGCAAGGUACAGAAAACGUGUACCGCUUGAAAUUUAGUGCUAUACUUUUCUCUAUAAUACUCAAGUGAACUCAGAUAAUGGAUCUUAAGGAACCCUGUAACCAACCCUUAGGAAGCGAACAUGUUUCGGUAAUCAUUUAAUAAAUAGUAAUUGUGAAUGAGUUCUUUAAACGUUACCCAAGUUCCUAAUUAAAUAUAGCAUAGGGAACAGCAGGCGAUUUAAUCAACCAAGAUCGUUGGAUGAAUAGACUUUUUAAAGCACAAAACUUUAAAUUUCCAUAUAGUGGAAAACCGCAAAGGUUAAUCCAACAAAAUUACCUGCUCAAAUAAGAAGCAUGGGAGAUCUCAGGAGCUAGAAUACCGCAAACGAAAAUAAUCAAACAGAGUAUUUAAUGUUCUCCAUAUUCUUUCGAUAACAAAUAUAUAGCCACAGGGAAGAAUUUAAAAAAUACAUCCGAAUUCGCCUCUAAAAGACAUCCAACUUCACCUGAAAAAUGAUGCAGCCAUUAAAAAAUCUAAAUCGAGUAUAACGUUACGAUAUAUCCAUUUAUCAUAUACAUUCCGCUAUUACAGCGGACACGUAAACCUCAAAUUUCCUACAGUGCCUGAAAUACAACAUAUCUGUGUGUGACUAAAAGUUUUGCAUUUAGCUCUAUAUUUUAUGGGCUCUUCUAAACUACUCAGGUGUUAAUUAAAUUUAAUAUUUGUGUCCGAAUAGGGUUUCAUUUAAGUCGAAAAGUAGAUUUAUGCACAACCCUGAGUGGUUUUAAAGCAUUUCACUUCGCCUUUUAUGCGUAUCCAUUGGCAAUGCAUUUAUAGUCAUUAAGAAGAGCAAUUUGCAUGUGUGAAAAGGACGAAUAUAGAAGCAAAAUAAAAUACUGGAUAGUUUAAAGAUCGGUACAUUGAAAAUGGAUUUGUACAUAAAACCAUAUCCAUACAUAGUACAAGUUUCUCUCGAGGCGAAUUUUUCACCAGCAAAAUCAUUCACCGUAGGCAGAAACAGUUAGUAAUCCCAACCAAGCUCCCGGAGCUUCUGGGGAAUAAUUAUUGUGAUGCGAUUGACCUGGCAUUGUCUUGAUGCAACACAAUUACUCGCCGAUUGGUCUGGGCGAUUGCUCCUUCAAGCGGUCCAAAUGUUGCAAUUCUGAAAUAACGAUUUGGUCGCAGUGGAGCUUAUUUAAAAAUUAAAAAAAUACGCUUAUGUAAUGGGUUCAAAUACCAGACAGAAACAAAUAAUAUUUUAUUUAAAAUGAAAAAGUUUUAAUUGCAAGGAAACAAUAGUAUAGCAUACUUUUAGGAUCUACGGAUAAAAAAGUUGAAAUAUAUGUAAUUAUAAAAUCCAUGGAGUGAAAACAGGAGUUGGAAUUAGUUGUUGUUGAUGUUUAAAAAUAAAAAAUUCUUUGAUUUCGAUAACAUAUUUAUUAGACCGAUUUGGGUUUCAGGACACAAUAUUUAGAAUAAAUAAUAUAUUUGAAUAAAUAUAGUACACUACUGGUGGAUCAUUCUCUGGGAGAUCAAUUUUGAAGUGCGAUCACCCAAAAGCAUUUAUUCACGGAAUCCUAGGAUGGUGAUGUUUUCAGCGUCCUUUAGGUCAAUGGCGAAAAUUACCGAUUGUUGGAACCAUAGUUCGAUGUUUUAACAAGGACCAGAGAACCUCAUUUAUGAGGCAAUUAAUGAUAUCAACGCUUUAAACCCUCUUUAGGGUAAUAAUCGACACUAAUUGUUCAAAUAUCAUUGAAUAUCCUUAUAUUUUUCCUAUCCUUAUAUUAAACACUGCCGAAGCAUAAAAAUGUUUGCUUAGUCAAGAAAGUUUAAAAAAUCGUAUAUAAAGGCAUGCGAAACUAAAUAAAAAUCAGAAUAAAAAAUGUCUCGCUCAGUGAUAGUCUUUAAUUGCCCUCCACCAGUGGUAAGGAAUUUAAAAUACUCCAUUGAGUUAACAUAUUGGAAGAAAAGGCUGAACUAAAUUACGAAGAAGGAAAGAAAGGUAGAACAGCUUUAGUAUAGGCUUAACGCCGCGAACAAACGUUCUCUUCAGCGUGAUAUGCUGUUAGAAAAACUUGGAAAACUUUAGUGUUCGAUCCCACGAUACUGUGCUUAAAAUGAGUGUGGAUAGUGUAUUCUCCGGAUUAAGAAUAUAAACAGAAGGACCUCGCCUAACGGACACCUCUCUUACGCUGAUUAUUACAGCCGUCGGAAAACAGUAAUUUUCGAGAAAUUCGCAUUUAAAAAAUUCCCAAAUUUAAAUAUGGAAAAUCUUGAUUUAUAGUGAAGUUUUCAUUUAAGUUGUGAAUUUGCAAUUUAUAUUAAACACUUCCCUACAUUGUGACCACAUAUUUAUUUAACAUCAAUUAUUUAAAUAUUUGCUUUAAAUAAGCAUUUCAGUUUUUACAAUUUCUGCUUUCCAUUUUAGCAAAUAUUAAAAAAUAAAUUAUCCAUUUUAAUAAAAGCAAAAAGUUUUUGGUCUUAUAUGUCUGCUUUAUUGCUUCAAUUAAUUUAACAAAUGUUUCUUGGAUUGGCAAUAUUUUUGCUACAUAUGCAUGCCAUUGUAUUUGAAAAAUAUUCACUAUUAUUGUAAUUGUCUUUUAUAAAAAUCCGUUUAACGUUUAAUUACCUGCCACUGGCACUUAAUUCGUUGUGUAUGAGUUCUUUCCUCUGCAACAAAUGGAUUGUCUGGGUCGCUAUGAUUUAUGCGACAAUGCUCAUACCCCUAACUAUAUAGGCACGUGCCUUUGUAUUAAAGGUAUGAACACAGCAGCAGACCUGACGUAUUCCGAACACACUUCCACCCAGAGGUCGUCACUCCUGUCCUUGAUCUUUCCAAGAACGCAGUGGCUUUUGAAUAGAUAAUAUGUUGUCAAUUGUUUUGGCAGAUCUGCUAUAAUGUUACUGCUUCGGGCAGUAUGAGCACCUCAGCAGACCUGACGUAUUCCGAACACACUUCCACCCAGAGGUCUUCACUCCCGUCCUCGAUCAUUCCAAGAACGAAAUGGUUUUUGAAUAUAUAAUAUAUUAUCUAUUGUUUUGGCAGAUCUGCUAUAAUGUUACUGCUUCGGGCAGUAUGAGCACCUCAGCAGAUCUGACGUAUUCCGAACACACUUCCACCCAGAGGUCGUCACUCCUGUCCUCGUUCAAUUCUAAGAACGUAGUGGCUUUCGAAUAUAUAAUAUAUUGUUUAUCGCUUUGGCAGAUUUACCUGACGUAUUCAGAACACACUUCCACCCAGAGAUCUUCACUCCCGUCCUCGAUCAUUCCAAGAGAGAAAUGGUUUUUGAAUAUAUAAAAUACUAUCUAUUGUUUUGGCAGAUCUGCUAU